GACGAACGCUGGCGGCGUGCCUAAUACAUGCAAGUUGAGCGAUGAAGAUUGGUGCUUGCACCAAUUUGAAGAGCAGCGAACGGGUGAGUAACGCGUGGGGAAUCUGCCUUUGAGCGGGGGACAACAUUUGGAAACGAAUGCUAAUACCGCAUAACAACUUUAAACAUAAGUUUUAAGUUUGAAAGAUGCAAUUGCAUCACUCAAAGAUGAUCCCGCGUUGUAUUAGCUAGUUGGUGAGGUAAAGGCUCACCAAGGCGAUGAUACAUAGCCGACCUGAGAGGGUGAUCGGCAACAUUGGAACUGAGACACGGCCCAAACUCCUACGGGAGGCAGCAGUAGGGAAUCUUCGGCAAUGGACGAAAGUAUGACCGAGCAACGCCGCGUGAGUGAAGAAGGUGUUCGGAUCGUAAAACUCUGUUGGUAGGGAAGAACGUUGGUGAGAGUGGAAAGCUCAUCAAGUGACGGUAACUAACCAGAAAGGGACGGCUAACUACGU
RNAcentral lists this ribosomal RNA (496 nucleotides) under uncultured bacterium. Its description in RNAcentral is "partial 16S ribosomal RNA". It matches the Rfam family "Bacterial small subunit ribosomal RNA", at positions 28 to 506 of the family's 1533-position model. The record is from RNAcentral.